UUUCAGCUCUUACUACCGAUUGGGCGUACCACAACCCUACCUCCCCAGUAUUUCGAUUUAGACCCGCUCCUCCCAUCUCUCAAUCUCCGGAACAAUCCUCAAAUUUAGGGUGAUUCGUGCACCCACCCCAUGUCUCUACACCCCUAGCCCCUCACUCGAAUCGCCCAUCCACCGUCUGUGCAAACCCUAGACCCACCCUCUAUCACCCUUCUGAUUGAGACCGACGUAUAGCCGACCCAUCUCCUUCGAGGCUCCGACUGCAAAGGACCUCUCCCCCGAGGCUUGGACCAUCGACCACGCUCAAUCGCCCAUUCUCCAGAUAAUACUAGAAGUAAAAAUAUGGGAGUUGAAGGAUGUCGAACCUGAAGAAGGGGAGAUUGUUGCCGUGCAAGAACCAGCCAAAUCAAAAGGAUGAAAGCUAGGACGAGUGCCUGUGUGUAUCGCACCAAAUGGACAUUCCAGCAAACACACAAGUCACAAGAGCUAACCUGUGCCCACUUUUACAAGCUUCCAUCAUCAUUAGCGUCAAAGUCUCUGAGCUAAGUUUCCAGCCUUAAAGGCUGUAUCUGGUGGCAGAUUUUCAAGUUCUAAGACAAGGCCGAGUAAGAAAGGAAUGCACUAUAGAACAUUUUGUAAUAUGUGGUGCAUUUUAAGCCCUCAUAUCAACAAUCACUAAGACCUACUCCAAUUCUUAGAGUAAAACUCAAAAUUUAGGUUAUAAACUUACCUCAACUUGCUCCAACCCUUGGGCCAAAUAUGACUUAAAACCCAAAACUUAUUUUUGGGGCAAAUUUAGCCAAGACUUCCUACUGGGUUAGUGGGGCAAACCCACUAAAUACGUCUAUUUUUUUUAGUUUUAUAUUUAUUAAUUCAUUGAAUCCAACAACUAAGAUUUAAUUUGAUCAAAUC
Molecule: small RNA, 909 nt
Filed under: Malus domestica (apple)
Lineage: Eukaryota; Viridiplantae; Streptophyta; Magnoliopsida; Rosales; Rosaceae
Description: sRNA MD16G0072100
Source: RNAcentral